AGCUGCGUGGCAGAGAGGGAAUGCGUCAGGGAGGUCUUAUAGACCCCCUGAAGUUCGCUGGUUCGAUCCCAGCCGCAGCGA
This is a non-coding RNA of Canariomyces notabilis, 81 nucleotides long. NCBI's taxonomy places the organism in Eukaryota, Fungi, Ascomycota, Sordariomycetes, Sordariales, Chaetomiaceae. The record is from the annotation of a RefSeq genome assembly.